UGGCUCAGGAUGAACGCUGGCGGCGUGCCUAACACAUGCUUGUCGAGCGAUCUUCUUCGGAAGAGAGCGGCGGACGGGUGAGUAACGCGUGGGUAACCUGCCCUGUACACACGGAUAACAUACCGAAAGGUAUGCUAAUACGGGAUAAUAUGCUUUUAUCGCAUGGUAGAAGUAUCAAAGCUCCGGCGGUACAGGAUGGACCCGCGUCUGAUUAGCUAGUUGGUAAGGUAACGGCUUACCAAGGCGACGAUCAGUAGCCGACCUGAGAGGGUGAUCGGCCACAUUGGAACUGAGACACGGUCCAAACUCCUACGGGAGGCAGCAGUGGGGAAUAUUGCACAAUGGGCGAAAGCCUGAUGCAGCAACGCCGCGUGAGCGAUGAAGGCCUUCGGGUCGUAAAGCUCUGUCCUCAAGGAAGAUAAUGACGGUACUUGAGGAGGAAGCCCCGGCUAACUACGUGCCAGCAGCCGCGGUAAUACGUAGGGGGCUAGCGUUAUCCGGAAUUACUGGGCGUAAAGGGUGCGUAGGUGGUUUCUUAAGUCAGAGGUGAAAGGCUACGGCUCAACCGUAGUAAGCCUUUGAAGCUGGGAAACUUGAGUGCAGGAGAGGAGAGUGGAAUUCCUAGUGUAGCGGUGAAAUGCGUAGAUAUUAGGAGGAACACCAGUUGCGAAGGCGGCUCUCUGGACUGUAACUGACACUGAGGCACGAAAGCGUGGGGAGCAAACAGGAUUAGAUACCCUGGUAGUCCACGCCGUAAACGAUGAGUACUAGCUGUCGGAGGUUACCCCCUUCGGUGGCGCAGCUAACGCAUUAAGUACUCCGCCUGGGAAGUACGCUCGCAAGA
This 844-nucleotide ribosomal RNA is filed under the name uncultured bacterium. RNAcentral describes it as "bacterial SSU rRNA". It matches the Rfam family "Bacterial small subunit ribosomal RNA", at positions 20 to 893 of the family's 1533-position model. The record is from RNAcentral.